GAUGAAGAACGUAGCGAAAUGCGAUAAGUAGUGUGAAUUGCAGAAUUCAGUGAAUCAUCGAAUCUUUGAACGCACCUUGCGCCCUUUGGCCAUUCCGAAGGGCAUGCCUGUUUGAGUAUCAUGAACACCUCAACUCUUUAUGGUUUUCCAUGAUGAGCUUGGACUCUGGGGGUUUUGCUGGCUCACAGUCGGCUCCUCUAAAAUAAAUCAGCUUACCAGUGUUUGGUGGGUAUCAUGGGUGUGAUAACUAUCUACGCUUGUGGUUUUUCCACCAGGUAACCUUCAGCAGUGGAGGUUCGCUGGAGCUCAUAGACGUCUCUCCUCAGUGAGGACAGCCCUUUGAACGUUUGAUCUCAAAUCAGGUAGGACUACCCGCUGAACUUAAGCAUAUCAAUAAGCGGAGA
This 404-nucleotide unclassified non-coding RNA is filed under the name soil metagenome. Its description in RNAcentral is "partial contains 5.8S ribosomal RNA, internal transcribed spacer 2, and large subunit ribosomal RNA". The stretch from base 1 to 121 matches the Rfam family "5.8S ribosomal RNA", at positions 35 to 154 of the family's 154-position model. The record is from RNAcentral.